GACGAACGCUGGCGGCGUGCUUAACACAUGCAAGUCGAACGGAAAGGCCCCUUUCGGGGGGUACUCGCGUGGCGCACGGGUGAGUAACACGUGAGUAACCUGCCCUCGACUUUGGGAUAACUCUAGAAGAAACGGGCUAAAACCGCAUAGAAGAUCUUGUUGCACGGUGGGGGGUGGAGAGUUUCGGGGGUUGGGGGUGGGCUCGCGGGUUAUCUGCUUGUUGGUGGGGGAGUGGGUUACCAAGGGUUUGACGGGUAUCCGGGCUGGGAGGGUGACCCGCCACAAUGGGACUUGGGUACGGCCCAGACUCCUACGGGGGGGAAGAGGGGGGAAUAUUGGACAAAGGGUGGGAGGCUGAUGCAGGAACGCCGGGGGCGGGAAGACGGGCUUCGGGUUGGAAACCGCUUUCGGUCAUGACGAAGCUUUGUGUGACGGUAGUGGGUAAAGAAGCACCGGCUAACUACGUG
RNAcentral lists this ribosomal RNA (467 nucleotides) under uncultured bacterium. RNAcentral describes it as "partial 16S ribosomal RNA". It matches the Rfam family "Bacterial small subunit ribosomal RNA", at positions 28 to 507 of the family's 1533-position model. The record is from RNAcentral.